CUUUAUUAAAAACACCAUUUGAAAAUCAUUGAAAAAACACAGAAAGAAAAACAACCCAGUUCAUUUCACCAGUUAAAAACAAGCUUCCCAAGGCCAUUAACGGUAACUAUCCCCUCCCUUAUACACACAAUUUCUCCAUGUGUGUGAGUGUGUGUGAGUGUGUGUGUGUGUGUGUGUGUGUGUGUGUGACUAUCCCCUCCCUUAUACACACCAUUUCUCCCUGCACUGAGCCCCAAUCUCUGUGUGCUGGUAGAACCUGUACUCACCCACUAUUCUCCUUUCCACCAGAGAUUUAAACAUGGAUAUCAUGUCUGUUUUCCUUGCCUUCCUUUGCUUCGUGGGAUUUAAGGAUGGCCAACUUGGCCUACCCUACCAAGAAAUUGGCUAUUAUAUACCGCUCACGCCAAUCCUGCCUGGGCCCACAACUGAACAAAAAACACUAUACACAAAUACAUCGAUACCUUCUCCAGUAUAGCAAAUAAAGUUGCUAGCCUCGCACAUUCACAUAAAAAUGUAUUACAGCCUCAGUUAUGUUACAAUAAGGGCAAACGGGUCACAUCCCCUGAUUAAAUCUAAAAACAAGCUUAUUUGUAGCAAUUGUACAUUGUAACAACCUUCACUGAAGGUCAGCUGACAUUUUGGGCAAUGGAGACUCAUACUGCAGCCUCGAUGAGAGAGGCAGUCCAUCAGAUACUGAAAGGUGGGACCUCCCCUGUGUGUCCGGCCGUCCUUUCAGCUGUGAGUAAUGUGCAACCUUCACACAAGUUAAAUAAGGCACCUUCUUCCCAACCAUAUGGAAACCAAAGUCACGAUACCCAGUUAAUGACAGUGUACGGCCAGUGUAAUCUAUUUCCAUUUCUACAAUAUCAGGUGUUAACCUUCAAGCUGGAAAAGCCAUUGGAGCUGUCUCACUAGAAUCAUGAAUCAGAAUUGUUUUUAUUGCCAAGUAAGUUUACGCCUACCAGGAAUUUUAUUUUCCAUAUUGGUGCAGACAAUAAACAUAAAACAUAGUAAGUACUACAACAUAAGAAAAACUAUAUAUAAAAUAUAUAAAACAUAUAAAGGCAUAAUACUUAAGGCAUGGUCAACACACUCCCUCAAAGACUGACCAACCUAACUAACCUGAGUCCAACCUGCUCUGCUAUUAACUGUGGAGUUCACCAAACCCCUCCAGACAGAUCAAGCAGAUCAACUAGUCUAGUGAUCCCUGAUUCCACAAAACUAUCCAUUACUGAACUUAAACCCCCCAGCUGGAUCUUAAAGAGUGGAUUACAAAAAAACUGUUUCAUCAACAUCAAGCGCUCAUUGCCCACUCUUGAAACUUAAAACAGAUGCAUAAAGGUGAGAACAGGGAGGCCACCUGCACUGUACAAAAGACCUUUCCAUUAAGAACAAAUGCAAAUCAAGCCCUCGACUGUCCUAAGAACGGAAAGACCAAAAGGAAUCCAUGGCACAUUCUCUGAACAACAUAAUAGUCUUUGCAAUGUAUGAAGCCUCAAGGCCGGGACCUUUGAAUUCAGAAGAAUUAAGCCUUGAACGCACACAGUCAAUGUCGGACAACAAAACACCUUGAGGAAGCCAGUGAUGACCAUUCCAUAAACAGUUCUCAAAAUCCCUUUUGACCCACCUGAUGAGAUCCUUUGGAGGGUCCAGAACUGUAACCCUGUGCCACAGUCCUUCCCAUCAGGCUAAAACAAGCUUAUUUUUUUUUUACAGAGAUCGAGCUGUAGGUUUCUAAUCCUUCAAACUCUGUCUGGUCUGGUUUCACUUCAGCAUCUUAAAUAGAGCAGUAACUCACAGUUAGAGAAACAUGUGGGCUGUGAUACUGCCACAAGCAGUUGCAAUGCUUUUUUUUUUACAGAAGAUAGCUGAGAAAGAAAGGCACAUGAACAGUGAGUGGCGGUACUAUAGAGGCCUGAGGAUGAAAUGUUUGGUCUGAAUUGGUGAAACUGGAGCUUAAGGACGCUCCAUAGCAUAGCAUAUAAAUACUUUAGAAUUUAAAUAGAAAACAUUUGCAUGGCUUUCCAUUGGACAACACUGCUGUUUUUCAACUGUUAAACUAUGACAAAGAAAUUAAAUUCAGGUUUCACCAACAUAGCCCAUAGGCUUUGCAGUUUUGCUGGUUUGGGACUUGCCACCACAGUUUAAAUGACAGCAGUUGGUGUGACCGUCUCCC
Long non-coding RNA from Clupea harengus (Atlantic herring), 2176 nucleotides. The record is from Ensembl. NCBI's taxonomy places the organism in Eukaryota, Metazoa, Chordata, Actinopteri, Clupeiformes, Clupeidae.